GGGGGAUAUUGCACAAUGGAGGAAACUCUGAUGCAGCAACGCCGCGUGAGGGAAGAAGGCUUUCGGGUCGUAAAGCUCUGUCUUCAGGGACGAGAAAAGACGGUACCUGAGGAGGAAGCCACGGCUAACUACGUGCCAGCAGCCGCGGUAAUACGUAGGUGGCGAGCGUUGUCCGGAAUUACUGGGCGUAAAGGGUGCGUAGGCGGGUUUUUAAGUCAGAUGUGAAGCCCCCGGGCUUAACCUGGGGAUUGCAUUUGAAACUGGGAGCCUAGAGUGCAGGAGAGGGAAGCGGAAUUCCUAGUGUAGCGGUGAAAUGCGUAGAUAUUAGGAAGAACACCAGUGGCGAAGGCGGCUUUCUGGACUGUAACUGACGCUGAGGCACGAAAGCGUGGGGAGCAAAC
Molecule: ribosomal RNA, 401 nt
Filed under: uncultured bacterium
Lineage: Bacteria
Description: bacterial SSU rRNA
Rfam family: Bacterial small subunit ribosomal RNA
Source: RNAcentral